Molecule: RNase P RNA, 368 nt
Filed under: human gut metagenome
Description: Bacterial RNase P class A
Rfam family: Bacterial RNase P class A
About the family: Ribonuclease P (RNase P) is a ubiquitous endoribonuclease, found in archaea, bacteria and eukarya as well as chloroplasts and mitochondria. Its best characterised activity is the generation of mature 5'-ends of tRNAs by cleaving the 5'-leader elements of precursor-tRNAs.
Source: RNAcentral
GCCGGAGGGUCUGUCGCUCGUAUUCCAUAUAAAGUACGAGAGGAAAGUCCGGGCCACACAGAGCACCAUAUUUCCUAACGGGAAGCUAUCGGAAACGGUAGGGUCAAUGUGACAGAAAACAACCGCUCGCGAGAGCAAGGGUGAAAAGGUGAGGUAAGAGCUCACCGGGCGCCACAGCGAUAUGGCGUGCCGCACAACCUAUGGGUUGCAAGGUCAAGUAUACCGGCAUUCAAGGGCUGCUCGUCCAUUGCCGGGGGGUAGACCGCUCAAUGCCUCCUCCGGGAGGCCAGAUAAAUGACAGACGGCGGGCGACAACUCCCUUUCGCGGGGACAGUAUCACCGCCACAUAACCCGGCUUAUACUCCGAC